RNAcentral lists this ribosomal RNA (481 nucleotides) under uncultured bacterium. RNAcentral's name for it is "partial 16S ribosomal RNA". It matches the Rfam family "Bacterial small subunit ribosomal RNA", at positions 28 to 523 of the family's 1533-position model. The record is from RNAcentral.
GACGAACGCUUGCGGCGUGCUUAACACAUGCAAGUCGAACGAUGAAGGAGAGCUUGCUCUCCGGAUUAGUGGCGAACGGGUGAGUAACACGUGACUAACCUGCCCCUUUCUCUGGGAUAACGCUCCGAAAGGAGUGCUAAUACCGGAUACGAACUCUGAACACAUGUUCGGAGUUGGAAAGUUUUUCGGAAAGGGAUGGAGUCGCGGCCUAUCAGCUUGUUGGUGAGGUAACGGCUCACCAAGGCGACGACGGGUAGCCGGCCUGAGAGGGCGACCGGCCACACUGGGACUGAGACACGGCACAGACUGCUACGGGAGGCAGGAGUGGGGAAUAUUGCACAAUGGGCGAAAGCCUGAUGCAGCGACGCCGCGUGAGGGAUGAAGGUCUUCGGAUUGUAAACCUCUUUCAGUAGGGACGAAGCGAAAGUGACGGUACCUAAAGAAGAAGCACCGGCUAACUACGUGCCAGCAGCCGCCGUAA